CCCUGUGGAGUUUUACCCCCUGCAUCUCUGGCCACCCUCUCAGUGGAUCCCUGUGGUGCCAGGCAGGAAUGGGCUGCAGGGGCACCCAGCGAGCUUCCAGGGCCUUUCUGCCGCUUCCUCUACCCCUGUUUUUCGCUUGGCUCUCUAACUUGACUCAGCUUCAGCAGCCACAGGAAAUUAAUAUAACUGCGAAGGAAAAGAUUUCCCCUGCUCGAGUCUCCCUGCACUCCUACCCAUCUGAGAGAAACAGAACUGUUGAGUAGCUGAUGCAAUUUCAUCCAUAAUAUUGUGGAUUCACCAUUGAUUCAGCAUCUGAUCCUCAGCACUGUAUAUCUAAGAACUCAUUCUCCUUGGUUCAUCAGGCAUGAUCAGAUUAAGGAUUCAUACACACUGACCUAACUCACAGGAGAGAGUUAUAAAUCAGAACACCAAUUUAUUGCCUUGUUCAUGGAAAUAGAAACACUACAUGUGUCAGCUUACUCAGAUCAGCAGCUAAACACUGUUCAGUGUUGAUUGGGAAAUAUAAAGCCAGAAUGAAGGCAGCUGGUUCAUCUUGAUAGCAAAUGUUACCAAAUCUCAUAGUCUGGUGCCCUAAUCUCCAUGGGAUUAGAACAUGUACAUCGACCAGAGAGGUUCUCUUUCUCCUGACUAUGCUGGGACAUUCUGGCAAAUUCUGACUCAUCACUCCCUUUCUAGAAUCCUUAAAGACCAUCAUCACGCUAUUUCAAGAAUAUUCCUUCAGAUGUGUUACAAAGAUUAAAUGUUGAUUUAUGGUAUCUCUAAA
This is a long non-coding RNA of Homo sapiens (human), 784 nucleotides long. RefSeq lists it as uncharacterized. The transcript has 2 exons. NCBI's taxonomy places the organism in Eukaryota, Metazoa, Chordata, Mammalia, Primates, Hominidae. The record is from RefSeq and is a predicted model, not a curated record.